Molecule: ribosomal RNA, 210 nt
Filed under: Sporothrix schenckii
Lineage: Eukaryota; Fungi; Ascomycota; Sordariomycetes; Ophiostomatales; Ophiostomataceae
Description: partial 28S rRNA
Source: RNAcentral
GACCAGACUUGCGCCCCGCGGACCACCCGGCGUUCUCGCCGGUGCACUCUGCGGUGCGCAGGCCAGCAUCGGUUCUCCCAGGGGGACAAAGGCCGCGGGAACGUAGCUCCUUCGGGAGUGUUAUAGCCCGCGGCGGCAUGCCCCUGGGGGGACCGAGGACCGCGCUUCGGCAAGGAUGCUGGCGUAAUGGUCACCAGCGAACCGUCUUGA